UUCUUGAAUGGAGAGCGCAUAUGUUCAAUAUAACUGAGGGGAAAACAACGCUCUCUCUAAACCUCUCUUGUGAAAAGGCAUUUCCUCUGAAUGUGGUUCUUUGCAAAAUCAAAGCCAAAAGAAUGUGGAGCUAAUUCCUUGGUAUUUUUGAGAAAGUGGCAGCCAAAAUAUUUUUCUAAUUUGUGCCGCAGAACAGGCUCUGUCUGACGUAGUUCUGUGUUGGGAUGAAGCUGUGCAAAUUUGGGAGCCCAACCACAUUGACUGGAUUUCAAAGCAGUCACUCCUGGCCAAUGCAGCUGCUCAGAUGGCAUUGGCAGCAGACUUUGAGGACCUCAGUUGAGCCCUCUAUGCCAGAGAGUAGGCCCAGCGUGCACCUUGACUGUUCCUGAAGCAGGAAUUGUGGAGGAAGCAGUGACGACAGACCAUUCCUAAGUUUCAGAUGAAAGGCAGAACUGAAGGAACAAAGCCAGCGUUGUCACUGACAGAGUACUGCACAAGUCAAUGAUGAAGGCUGAGGGAAACCAUCCAGGACAAUAACGUUGAGAAUUUUGAGGAAAGUUUUGCCCAUAUUCUAAUUUAGAUGAACAAAAAUGAUACAAUACAGCAAUAAGCCAUUUGCCCCAUGAUACUCUGGCAGCUAUCCAAUUAAUCCGACACUCUGACUCUUUCCUCCUAGCCUUUUCCAGGAUUUAUCCAAUGUCAUCCUUUCAAAAUCACACAACGCUGGGUUAUAGUCCAACAGGUUUAUUUGGAAG
Molecule: non-coding RNA, 755 nt
Organism: Chiloscyllium plagiosum (whitespotted bambooshark)
Lineage: Eukaryota; Metazoa; Chordata; Chondrichthyes; Orectolobiformes; Hemiscylliidae
Source: RefSeq, a predicted model, not a curated record